CGAGGGAUGGGCCCGCGGCCUGUUAGCUGGUUGGCGGGGCAGCGGCCCACCAAGGCGAUGAUGGGUAGCCGGGUUGAGAGACCGACCGGCCAGAUUGGGACUGAGACACGGCCCAGACUCCUACGGGAGGCAGCAGUGGGGAAUCUUGCACAAUGGGCGGAAGCCUGAUGCAGCGACGCCGCGUGCGGGACGAAGGCCUUCGGGCUGUAAACCGCUUUCAGCAGGGACGAGGCGCAAGUGACGGUACCUGCAGAAGAAGCCCCGGCUAACUACGUGCCAGCAGCCGCGGUAAUACGUAGGGGGCAAGCGUUAUCCGGAUUCAUUGGGCGUAAAGCGCGCGUAGGCGGCCAGCCUGGUCGGGAGUCAAAUCCGGGGGCUCAACCCCCGUCCGCUCCCGAUACCGGCCGGCUUGAGUCUGGCAGGGGAAGGCGGAAUUCCCGGUGUAGCGGUGGAAUGCGCAGAUAUCGGGAAGAACACCGGUGGCGAAGGCGGCCUUCUGGGCCACGACUGACGCUGGGGCGCGAAAGCUAGGGGAGCGAACAGGAUUAGAUACC
This 554-nucleotide ribosomal RNA is filed under the name uncultured Actinomycetes bacterium. RNAcentral's name for it is "bacterial SSU rRNA". It matches the Rfam family "Bacterial small subunit ribosomal RNA", at positions 219 to 786 of the family's 1533-position model. Lineage: Bacteria; Bacillati; Actinomycetota; Actinomycetes. The record is from RNAcentral.